Small nuclear RNA from Ipomoea nil (Japanese morning glory), 117 nucleotides. It matches the Rfam family "U5 spliceosomal RNA". Rfam says of the family: U5 RNA is a component of both types of known spliceosome. The precise function of this molecule is unknown, though it is known that the 5' loop is required for splice site selection and p220 binding, and that both the 3' stem-loop and the Sm site are important for Sm protein binding and cap methylation. NCBI's taxonomy places the organism in Eukaryota, Viridiplantae, Streptophyta, Magnoliopsida, Solanales, Convolvulaceae. The record is from Rfam.
AGCCAUGUGAUGAACACAAAGCGAACUAUUCUUUCGCCUUUUACUAAAGAAUACCGUGUGUUCGUUACAAUCAAUGGCAUACUCUAAUUUUUGAAGGGUGUUUAACAUUAAACACCC